Molecule: ribosomal RNA, 659 nt
Filed under: uncultured bacterium
Lineage: Bacteria
Description: bacterial SSU rRNA
Rfam family: Bacterial small subunit ribosomal RNA
Source: RNAcentral
AGUCGAACGGUAGCACAGAGAGCUUGCUCUCGGGUGACGAGGGGCGGACGGGUGAGUAAUGUCUGGGAAACUGCCUGAUGGAGGGGGAUAACUACUGGAAACGGUAGCUAAUACCGCAUAACGUCGCAAGACCAAAGUGGGGGACCUUCGGGCCUCAUGCCAUCAGAUGUGCCCAGAUGGGAUUAGCUUGUAGGUGGGGUAACGGCUCACCUAGGCGACGAUCCCUAGCUGGUCUGAGAGGAUGACCAGCCACACUGGAACUGAGACACGGUCCAGACUCCUACGGGAGGCAGCAGUGGGGAAUAUUGCACAAUGGGCGCAAGCCUGAUGCAGCCAUGCCGCGUGUAUGAAGAAGGCCUUCGGGUUGUAAAGUACUUUCAGCGAGGAGGAAGGCGAUAAGGUUAAUAACCUUGUCGAUUGACGUUACUCGCAGAAGAAGCACCGGCUAACUCCGUGCCAGCAGCCGCGGUAAUACGGAGGGUGCAAGCGUUAAUCGGAAUUACUGGGCGUAAAGCGCACGCAGGCGGUCUGUCAAGUCGGAUGUGAAAUCCCCGGGCUCAACCUGGGAACUGCAUCCGAAACUGGCAGGCUAGAGUCUUGUAGAGGGGGGUAGAAUUCCAGGUGUAGCGGUGAAAUGCGUAGAGAUCUGGAGGAAUACC